RNAcentral lists this long non-coding RNA (213 nucleotides) under Lathyrus oleraceus (garden pea). RNAcentral describes it as "Pisum sativum (pea) long non-coding RNA (PSAT_LNC013313)". The record is from RNAcentral. Lineage: Eukaryota; Viridiplantae; Streptophyta; Magnoliopsida; Fabales; Fabaceae.
AAAAUUAUAAUUAACAAAAAAAUGUAAAUCAAAUAAAACAGUGGUUUCUAACUAUCCAUUACAUCAAAAAUAAAAUAUGAAAAAAAAACUAUAAAGUCAUAAAAUGUAUAGCCAAAUCUAAUGUAGGAAUAAAAAAAAUUAAAACUAUCAUGAUAUAUUGACAUAAAAUAUCAACCUAAAUCAUUGCUUAUUGUUUACUCCUCUAGAUUUUUC